AAAAAUUUAGUUAAAUUAUAACAUUAGCUUGUCAAGCUAAAAUUAUUACCCGUAAUAAUUUUUA
Molecule: transfer RNA, 64 nt
Filed under: Cryptalaus larvatus
Lineage: Eukaryota; Metazoa; Arthropoda; Insecta; Coleoptera; Elateridae
Also listed under: 1 other name
Description: tRNA-Asp
Rfam family: tRNA
About the family: Transfer RNA (tRNA) molecules are approximately 80 nucleotides in length. Their secondary structure includes four short double-helical elements and three loops (D, anti-codon, and T loops).
Source: RNAcentral